CCUACGGGGGGCAGCAGUGGGGAAUAUUGGACAAUGGGGGCAACCCUGAUCCAGCCAUGCCGCGUGUGUGAAGAAGGCCCUCGGGUUGUAAAGCACUUUCAGUGAGGAAGAACGCCUGGUGGUUAAUACCCAUCAGGAAAGACAUCACUCACAGAAGAAGCACUGGCUAACUCCGUGCCAGCAGCCGCGGUAAUACGGAGGGUGCGAGCGUUAAUCGGAAUUACUGGGCGUAAAGCGCGCGUAGGUGGCUUGAUAAGCCGGUUGUGAAAGCCCCGGGCUCAACCUGGGAACGGCAUCCGGAACUGUCAAGCUAGAGUGCAGGAGAGGAAGGUAGAAUUCCCGGUGUAGCGGUGAAAUGCGUAGAGAUCGGGAGGAAUACCAGUGGCGAAGGCGGCCUUCUGGACUGACACUGACACUGAGGUGCGAAAGCGUGGGUAGCAAACAGGAUUAGAUACCCCGGUAGUC
Molecule: ribosomal RNA, 465 nt
Filed under: Vreelandella stevensii
Lineage: Bacteria; Pseudomonadati; Pseudomonadota; Gammaproteobacteria; Oceanospirillales; Halomonadaceae
Description: partial 16S ribosomal RNA
Rfam family: Bacterial small subunit ribosomal RNA
Source: RNAcentral